This 80-nucleotide small RNA is filed under the name Nematostella vectensis (starlet sea anemone). RNAcentral's name for it is "Flavo-1 RNA". It matches the Rfam family "Flavo-1 RNA". Lineage: Eukaryota; Metazoa; Cnidaria; Anthozoa; Actiniaria; Edwardsiidae. The record is from Rfam by way of RNAcentral.
GGGUAGCCCCGAUAGUAGCGGCAGCCUGUUCUUGCGAGGAACGAUGCAAUGAACAGCUAUAGCGAAUAGCGGGAGGAGUG